Molecule: ribosomal RNA, 465 nt
Filed under: uncultured bacterium
Lineage: Bacteria
Description: partial 16S ribosomal RNA
Rfam family: Bacterial small subunit ribosomal RNA
Source: RNAcentral
CCUACGGGGUGCAGCAGUGGGGAAUAUUGCGCAAUGGGUGAAAGCCUGACGCAGCGACGCCGCGUGAGGGAUGAAGGUCUUCGGAUCGUAAACCUCUGUCAGCAGGGAAGAACGGUCACUGUGCUAAUCAGCAGUGAAUUGACGGUACCUGCAAAGGAAGCACCGGCUAACUCCGUGCCAGCAGCCGCGGUAAUACGGAGGGUGCGAGCGUUAAUCGGAAUUACUGGGCGUAAAGCGCUCGUAGGCGGUAUGUCAAGUCAAGGGUGAAAUCCCCGGGCUCAACGUGGGAACUGCCUUUGAAACUGGCAAACUGGAGUGUGUGAGAGGAUAGUGGAAUUCCAGGUGUAGGAGUGAAAUCCGUAGAUAUCUGGAGGAACAUCAGUGGCGAAGGCGACUAUCUGGAACAUAACUGACGCUGAGGAGCGAAAGCGUGGGUAGCAAACAGGAUUAGAUACCCGAGUAGUC